This 763-nucleotide ribosomal RNA is filed under the name Prevotella nigrescens. RNAcentral's name for it is "bacterial SSU rRNA". It matches the Rfam family "Bacterial small subunit ribosomal RNA", at positions 28 to 776 of the family's 1533-position model. Lineage: Bacteria; Pseudomonadati; Bacteroidota; Bacteroidia; Bacteroidales; Prevotellaceae. The record is from RNAcentral.
GAUGAACGCUGGCUACAGGCUUAACACAUGCAAGUCGUGGGGAAACGGCAUUAUGUGCUUGCACAUUCUGGACGUCGACCGGCGCACGGGUGAGUAUCGCGUAUCCAACCUGCCCCUUACUUGGGGAUACCCCGUUGAAAGACGGCCUAAUACCCGAUGUGUUUCAUUGACGGCAUCCGAUAUGAAACAAAGGUUUUUCCGGUAAGGGAUGGGGAUGCGUCUGAUUAGCUAGUUGGCGGGGCAACGGCCCACCAAGGCGACGAUCAGUAGGGGUUCUGAGAGGAAGGUCCCCCACAUUGGAACUGAGACACGGUCCAAACUCCUACGGGAGGCAGCAGUGAGGAAUAUUGGUCAAUGGACGCAAGUCUGAACCAGCCAAGUAGCGUGCAGGAUGACGGCCCUAUGGGUUGUAAACUGCUUUUAUGUGGGAAUAAAUUGGCGCACGUGUGCGCCAUUGCAUGUACCUCAUGAAUAAGGACCGGCUAAUUCCGUGCCAGCAGCCGCGGUAAUACGGAAGGUCCGGGCGUUAUCCGGAUUUAUUGGGUUUAAAGGGAGUGUAGGCGGUCUGUUAAGCGUGUUGUGAAAUUUAGGUGCUCAACAUUUAACUUGCAGCGCGAACUGUCAGACUUGAGUACACGCAGCGCAGGCGGAAUUCAUGGUGUAGCGGUGAAAUGCUUAGAUAUCAUGAGGAACUCCGGUCGCGAAGGCUGCCUGCGGGAGUGUUACUGACGCUCAAGCUCGAAAGGUGCGGGUAUCGAAAAGG